GGGUGUCGUGUCGACGAACGCGGGGAGAGCCUUGCAUAUCCCGCCCCACCGCGUAGCUUUGGCGCCUCGUCUUCGAGUCUUGUCAAACAACUAUCAUACUAUUAUAAUUUAUACUGUAGAUAUGUAGGUAUCUCAAUAACACUAUUCUAAAUUAUACGAACAACGCUCACCGAGUUACUAAACCUAAAAUAAUUAUCAUGAUGUUUGUUAUUCGUAAAGGUCGUCGUGGGUGAACACAACCGCCGCCGCCGAGAGAACGGCCUCCCGAGGAGAACUCCGGCCUUCACGAUAUAAUGUUGUUUAUUACGCGUUUACGUAUGACAGUGUAU
Cinara cedri is the source of this 329-nucleotide non-coding RNA. NCBI's taxonomy places the organism in Eukaryota, Metazoa, Arthropoda, Insecta, Hemiptera, Aphididae. The record is from the annotation of a GenBank genome assembly.